This 387-nucleotide ribosomal RNA is filed under the name Triticum aestivum (bread wheat). RNAcentral's name for it is "partial small subunit ribosomal RNA". Lineage: Eukaryota; Viridiplantae; Streptophyta; Magnoliopsida; Poales; Poaceae. The record is from RNAcentral.
AUGUACUCACUUUCACCUCAUUUUCUUGUAAAUACUGAUGGUAAUCCCGCAGGGCGGUGUCUCAAGUUACAAUUUAUGAAGUUGCUGCAGCAACAUGAGAAGAUAGCUGAAACCAGGCACAUUACUGUGUUAGAACCAAAGCUUGUAAAAUUGCCACCCUUAUCAAAACAGGAUUGUUCUUGGUUCUUCAAGACAAAAACCGAAUGCACCUACAGAGAAAUAUGGGUAUUAUAUCAUGCUUGUGCGUGGAGGGAAGCUGGCAUCACCAGCAUCUCCCGUGGACAAGGAGGAACUUUAGGAGGAGCAUGUGGACGACGGCUGCCUCGAGCAGAAGAAGCUCUCAAUGUGCACAUAACCUGCAUAAGUUACAAAAUGAUCCACCAGUAA